This 492-nucleotide ribosomal RNA is filed under the name uncultured bacterium. RNAcentral describes it as "partial 16S ribosomal RNA". It matches the Rfam family "Bacterial small subunit ribosomal RNA", at positions 29 to 507 of the family's 1533-position model. The record is from RNAcentral.
AGUGAACGCUGGCGGUAGGCCUAACACAUGCAAGUCGAACGGCAGCACAGUAAGAGCUUGCUCUUACGGGUGGCGAGUGGCGGACGGGUGAGGAAUACAUCGGAAUCUACUUUUUCGUGGGGGAGAACGUAGGGAAACUUACGCUAAUACCGCAUACGACCUACGGGUGAAAGCAGGGGAUCUUCGGACCUUGCGCGAUUGAAUGAGCCGAUGUCGGAUUAGCUAGUUGGAGGGGUAAAGGCCCACCAAGGCGACGAUCCGUAGCUGGUCUGAGAGGAUGAUCAGCCACACUGGAACUGAGACACGGUCCAGACUCCUACGGGAGGCAGCAGUGGGGAAUAUUGGACAAUGGGCGCAAGCCUGAUCCAGCCAUACCGCGUGGGUGAAGAAGGCCUUCGGGUUGUAAAGCCCUUUUGUUGGGAAAGAAAAGCAGCAGGUUAAUACCCCGCUGUUCUGACGGUACCCAAAGAAUAAGCACCGGCUAACUUCGUG